GCUGAGUGGAUUUACUUUUCUCCGGCGGAGGACCAUGGGGCCGGGGCGGAGGGGCGCAGGGGGGACGGCGUGGAGACGGACGGAGGAGAGCUGGUACCUUCUGGUGACAUUGCUGCUGUGGAGCGGCUUCUGGAGAGCGCACACACAGACAGACGAUGGGAAGUCCGUCUACUUUUGGGAAACAGGUCCGUGGGGGCGGUGCAUGGGCAGCGACUGCGGCCCCGGGGGCAGCCAGAGCCGGGCGGUGUGGUGCGCCCACGUGGACGGCUGGACCACGCUCCACACCAACUGUGACCAGAACCUGCGGCCGUCCAACCAGAGGAACUGCUUCCGCGUGUGCGACUGGCACAAGGAUCUGUACGACUGGAGGCUUGGCGCCUGGAACGCCUGCGUUCCGGUGUCGGCCCGGACGUUCGGAGCCGCCAGGCCGCUCCCCUGCAGCGGCGGGGAGGAGGGCAUUCAGACGCGGGAGGUGGGCUGCAUGCUCAAAGCCGACGGCCUGCCGGCAGAUGAUGCCAUCUGUGAGUACUUCGAGCCCAAGCCCCGCCUGGAGCAGGCCUGCCUGAUCCCCUGCCCUCAGGACUGCGUGGUUUCUGAGUACUCGCCGUGGACGUCCUGCUCCAAAACCUGUGGGACCGGCCUCAGGAACAGGGUCCGCAGCGUUCUGGUUCCUCCGCUUUUCGGAGGCGCUUUGUGUCCCAACCUCACCGAAUUCCAGUCCUGCAAACCCGGACCCUGCAAGGGCCCGGAGGGGCUGUACAGCCACAGGGUGGGGCCCUGGGGCCCCUGUGCCCUCCUGGGGUCACGGACUGCGCGGCAGGCCAAACGCAGGAAAGGGAAGGGGCAGGGACUCCGAGAGCGCGGAGGGGCGAAAGACCCCGAGACCAGGGAGCUAAUCCAGAAGAAACGGACCAGGAACCGCCUUAACCGACAAGACAGCCCCUUCUGGGACAUCCAGGUGGGGUACCAGACCCGGGAGGUGACCUGCAUCCACCGGAAUGGGAGCACAGUCGCACGCAACCUGUGCGGGCCCAGAGACCAGCCUCUGAUCAUCCAGUCCUGCGUUCUCCCAAAAGCCUGCCAGGUGACAGAGUGGGCGGAGUGGAGCUCCUGCUCAAAGACCUGCGUGGACCCGGAGUCUCCCGGAGGUAACCGCACCCGCCAGAGGCAGGUGCUGCAGUUCUCCGUGGGCGAGGAGGCGCCGUGCCCGCCGCUGGAGGAGAGCGAGCCCUGUGAGCCUCAGGGAGGCGGCGUCCCACCAUGCACCACUUACACAUGGAGAACCACCGAGUGGACCGACUGCCGGGUCGACGUGCUGCUGAGCCAACAAGACCGGAGGCGGAGCAACAUGACGGGGCUGUGUGGGGGGGGUCUGCAGACCAGGGAGGUGUACUGCGUCCAGGCCAACGCCGAGGUCCUGAAAUACCUCGCCGACCUGCGCGAGAAGGAGAAAGCAGGUCAGAGCCAAAGACCGCAGAAGCCUAGUGUCCCCCCCCUCAUCUCCGUCACCUUCCAGAUCUCAGCCUCCCCCCCGGUGGAGAACCGGCUGUGCCAAGGCCCGGUCCCCAACAGGUCCCAGCUGUGCCAGAUCCCCUGUCCCAUCGACUGCCAGGUGUCGCCCUGGGGGGCCUGGGGGCCCUGCACCUUCGAGAACUGUGACGACCAGACGGGGAAGAAAGGGUUCAAACUGAGGAGACGACAGAUCAGCAACGAGCCCACGGGGGGCCCGGGCAGCUGCCCCCACCUGGUGGAGGCGGUGCCGUGUGACGAGCCCACCUGUUACGGCUGGCAGCUGCUCAGCCUGGAGAAGUGUCUACCCGCCGACGGGCAGCAGUGCGGCCCCGGCGCUCGCCAGCCGCAGGUCCGGUGCAUCAACAGCAGCGGUAAGUCGGUGGACGGCUCCCUCUGCUCGCCGUUCCCGCCCCCAGAGCCCGUGGCUUGCGACGUGCCUUGCUCCAGAGACUGCGUGCUCAGCGACUGGACGGCGUGGUCCACCUGCUCCCAGACCUGCUCUAGUAAGACGGUGGAGGGGAAGCAGAUGAGGACCCGCUCCAUUCUGGCCUACAACGCCGGGGAAGGUGGCGCCCUGUGCCCGAACAGCAGCGCCCUUCAGGAGGUCCGUAACUGUAACGAGCACGCCUGUACGGUGUACCACUGGCAGACGGGGCCCUGGGGCCCCUGCACCGAGGACCCGUCCUCCCCGUCCUUCAACGCCUCGGCGGCGGUCCGCAGCAGCAGUCAGGGCCCGUGUUCUCUGGGGAUGCAGACCCGCAAGGUCAUCUGUGUGCGGGUCAACGUGGGCCAGGUUCCUCCCAAGAAGUGUCCCGACGGCCCCCGCCCCACCACCAUGCGCCCUUGCCAGCUGCCCUGUAAGAAAGACUGCAUCGUGACCCCGUUCAGCGACUGGACAGAGUGUCCUCUGAUCUGUGACGCAGCUGGUAAUGCGGUCAAGAAAAAGCAAUCCAGGAAGCGUCUGAUCAUCCAGAUGCCCUCCAACGGAGGACAGGAGUGUCCAGAGGUGCUGGAGGAGGAGAGGGACUGUGAGGCCCCCAGGAGCUGUCCAGGUUUCCGGUGGAAAACCCACAAAUGGAGGAAAUGCCAGCUGGUGCCAUGGACCCUGCGGAAGGACGAUCCUGGUGCUCAGGAGAACUGUGGUUCUGGACUUCAAACCAGAGCGAUGUCGUGCCGUCAGCUGGACGGGACGCAGGGCGACAUCAGCGAGUGUCUGAAGUUCGCUAAGGUCAUGCCCCCUGUCACUCAGCGCUGUCAGCUCCCCUGCCAGGAUGACUGCCAGCUGACCAGCUGGUCCAAGUUCUCGUCCUGCACCGCUGACUGCGUGGGGGUCCGCACCAGGAAGAGGGCGUUGAUAGGGAGAAGCAAAAAGAAGGACAAGUGCAAGAACACCCAGAUGUACCCUCUGAGCGAGACGCAGUACUGCCCCUGCGACAAGUACAACGCCCAGCCGGUGGGAAGGUGGUCGGACUGCAUCCUGCCUGAGGGGGCCCGAGCCGAGAGCCCUCUGGGGAUGAAGGUGCAGGGAGACAUCAAGGAGUGCGGUCAGGGCUACCGCUACCAGGCCAUGGCGUGCUACGACCAGGACAGCAGGCUGGUGGAGACGGCGCGCUGCAACAGUCACGGUUACAUCGAGGAGGCGUGCAUCAUCCCCUGUCCCUCCGACUGUAAACUCAGCGAGUGGUCCAACUGGUCGCGCUGCAGCAAGUCCUGCGGAAGUGGCGUGAAAGUUCGCUCCAAAUGGCUGAGAGAGAAACCGUACAACGGGGGCCGGCCGUGUCCCAAACUGGACCACAUCAACCAGGCCCAGGUGUACGAGGUGGUGCCGUGUCAGAGCGACUGUAACCAGUAUGUUUGGGUCGCGGAGCCCUGGAGUGUUUGGAAGGUCAGCAACGUUGACCUGAAGGAGAACUGCGGGGAGGGCGUCCAGACCAGAAAAGUCAGGUGCAUGCUCAACACGGUGGACGGGCCCUCAGAGGCGGUGGAGGACUACCUCUGCGACCCGGAGGAGAUGCCGCUGGGCGCCCGGGAGAGCCGACUUCCCUGCCCAGAAGACUGCGUCCUCAACGACUGGGGCCCCUGGAGCCGCUGCAGCCUGCCCUGCACCAGAACCAACAGUCGAGUCCGGACGGCGUACACCAUCCGAUCCCCCAGCGUGGGCCGGGAGUGUCCCGACACGACGGACAAAGAAGCCUGCAGCCUGAACCUGAACUGCUUCAACUACUUCUACAACAUCACAGACUGGAGUACAUGUCAGCUGAGUCCCAACGCCGUGUGUGGGCGGGGCAUCAAGACGCGGAUGCUGGACUGUGUUCGCAGCGACGGGAAGUCGGUGGACAUGAAAUUCUGCGAGGAGCUGAAUCUGGAGAGGAAGUGGCAGAUGAACGCGUCCUGCGUGGUGGAGUGUCCCGUCAACUGUCAGAUGUCCGAGUGGUCGCCGUGGUCGGACUGCUCGCAGACCUGCGGGCUGGAGGGUAAGAUGCGGCGGCAGCGGUUGGUGGUCCAGGCGUCGCAGGGCGACGGCCGGCCCUGCCCCUCUCAGAUGGAGCAGUGGAAGCCCUGUCCGGUGCGGCCCUGCUUCCGCUGGCAGUACAGCGCCUGGUCAGAGUGCCGGGUGGAGAGCGUGGUGUGCGGGGAAGGCAUGCGCUACAGGAACCUGUCCUGCUUCGUGUCGGACGGAUCCGCCGACGGCGAGUUCAGCAUGGUGGACGAGGAGCUGUGCAGCAGCCUGGAGCUGGCCGUCAACGGAGACAAGCAGAUCCUCCUGAAGGAGCCCUGCACCCUGCCAUGUCCGGGUGAGUGUUACCUGAUGGAGUGGUCGGACUGGAGCUCCUGUGUCAACAUCUGCGUCAAAGAAGCCGGGGUGGACUUCGGCUCGGUCCAGGUCCGCUCUCGAGCCGUGCUGGCCCAGGAGCCUGAGAACCUUCAGCUCUGUCCAGACCAGGUGUGGGAGUCCAAACCCUGCACAGGGGGCGAAUGCUUCCAGUACAAGUGGUUCGGCAGUUCUCCUCCCAACUCCACCGGCGCCUGGUGCCAGCGCUCCGACGGACUCAACGUCACGGGUGGAUGUCCCGCCGUCAGCCCCCCGCUGGACAACAGCUCCUGUGACCCUCCGUGUUUGAUGCCAAAGUCUUUCUGCAGCGAGGCGGCCGUCUGCGCGUGCGAGGACGGCUUCACAGAAGUGCUGUCCUUGACGGGACGGCUGAGGGAGUGCGCCCCCAUCCCCGUCCUGGAGAUUCCCACCGCCGGGGACAAGAAGGGCGACGUGAAGACCAGCCGCGCCGUCAACCCCACCCUGCCCAGCACCGUCCAGCCGGGCCGCAGCGGCCGGACCUGGUACCUGCAGCCCUACGGCCCAGACGGGAAGCUGAAGAUGUGGGUGUACGGGGUGGCGGCGGGGGCCUUCGUGCUCCUCAUAUUCAUAGUGUCUAUGAUAUACCUAGCUUGCAGCUACUGCGCCCGGCUGCACCGCUCCCUGAAGGCCCAGGAGACGGACAGCAACGGGGCGGCGGUGUGGGGGGGCCAGAACGCUCACGAGAUGGUUUACACCUGUCCCGAGUGCCAGGAGCAGCCUCACAGCAGCUGCAGCAGCUAAAGCGGACCCCCCCACGCCACAGCCCGACCCCGAGUCGACCCGUCAGGGUCCCGCGUCCAGAAUGACUAGAUGAGUGAAGGUGCAGCAAAAAGCCAAAGAGACCUCAGAGACAGAGGCAGCAAAACAACCGACUAAAACCUCUGACGCUGGCCUACGACGGAGACACGGACAUGUAGGGGGCGGAGCUCUCCACCCGCUCCGCCGCUGUCAAAUGGACUCGACGGUGCAGAGAUGACAGGAAGUCCUCUCAGCAGAGGCGCCGCUCUUCAAACUGAGCUCUGUUCACUCCUCCUGUUUUAUUUUGGCGGGGUCUUCCUGUCCUCCACAGUGCUCAAUGCCUUUUUGUUUUUUUGCCCUUGAAGCCUGGGUGAAGCCGGCGGAUGCAGCCGCCGUCUCUUCCAGCUCCACCCCCCAAACACACAUGCUUUUCUGCUGAGAAGGCGCUGGAGGCUUAGGACGCUCCGGCGAUUCGGAUGCUGCCAAAAGAGGAGAGGAGGAGGAGGAAAAUCUCCUUCCAAAGGUUUGGAUUCCUUCAAUCCUCAUUUGGGUUUCCACUCAAAUCUCUUCUCAACAAAAGAGUGGGGGGGGGGCAUUUCUUCUCCCGUCUUUCUGCUGGAUUCAGAGUUUUGUUUUCGGGGAUAAACCGACGGGAGGGAUGCUGAAGGAGGACGACCGCCCCCCGCCCGCCUGCUGGCCUCCACCCGGCUUCCUUUCAGGCUCUACUUUGCACUAUAUUAGUGCAGCAUGAUAUGCACACGUGACUUCUACCUUCUAUUGCCAUAAAGACACUGCCUCUUCCACAAACGGAACCGCCAGAAGAGCCGCUCGGGGGCGCCGCCUCCAUAGACUCCUGUACAGCUUUCAGUUUCCCGGCGGAGUUGUUGGUCGUUGUAGAGUACGUUUCUGUGGUCUGUGGAGUUUGUCCGGUGUUCCUGGUUCAGAUGCAACCCCCCCCCCCACACACACAAACAUGCUGUUCAAAUUCUCUUUUUUUUGUUUGAACAGAAGCCAUCCAUGUCCUGCAAACGUCAAACUGCCUUACUGACGGCGACAGCAGCAACACGAAACGUAGAGUAGGAACAUCCAACCUGCAGAAAACAAAUGAGAAGCUUCAGCUGCUGUGGAGAAUGUUUACUUUUAUUCUGGUGGGAUUUGUACAUAAUUUUUUUAUUUUUUUGGGAAAAAAGAAACCAGGAAGAGUCGUGUACAUUUAUUUUGUAU
This is an RNA transcript of Oryzias melastigma (Indian medaka), 6328 nucleotides long. It is a transcript of the gene named thrombospondin type-1 domain-containing protein 7A, with no coding region annotated. NCBI's taxonomy places the organism in Eukaryota, Metazoa, Chordata, Actinopteri, Beloniformes, Adrianichthyidae. The record is from RefSeq and is a predicted model, not a curated record. The transcript has 30 exons.